CCAUCAGUGUCGCUUACAGUCUUCAUUAAAACGUGCUGAAGAAGAAGCCAAACAGAAGGCAGAGAUGGAGAAAAAAGCUGCAGAGAAGAAAACCACAAAAGGUCCAUCAAGCUCAAAGAAGCCUGCUCAAGCGAUCAAGAAGUCCACUCAAGCUGAGAGCAAAAAGAUUCAGGCCGAGAAAGAGAAAAAGUCUCAGAACUCCGGGUCCAGGAGCAAGCCUGUGGACACCUCAUCCCCAGAGAAAGAGCCAACAUCUAGGCACAGGAGCAGGGGUAAUUCUGAAGAAGAUGGCCCUACCACCAGGCGUGGGGGAUCUUCUGGGUCCUUCCCCUCCCGGAGGAGCAGGCGGAAUUCCAGCCCUCCAUCAAAGCGCUCAAGGGGGCAUGAUGUUGAUCGCAGGAGUCAUAGUAAAAACUCACAGCCUUCAAGGGGUCACUCAAAAAUAAGGACAGCUGAAAAGGAAAAAGAGGAGGAACCGUUUCCAUUUAACAUUGAUGAGUUUGUGACCGUUGAUGAAGUUGGGGAUGAUGCAGAGGACACUGCGGUCUCAAAUACUGAGUCUUCAGCCAAGGACGAGAAGAUCCAGGAUAAACCCGAUUCCCACUCCAUAGUCUCUCCUAUUGCAGAGUCUGGUCCAGCUGAUAAACCAAACCAAAUAACUGACACGAUAAUUGCUUCUGAGAUAGGAAAACCAGAAGUUAUUGAAUGUGCGGAUAAAAUGGAAGCCAAGACUGAAGAAACCACACCAGCUGCAGAAGUUGUUGCAUCUCCAAAACCAGAAGAGCAAGAGCUUCAGGAAGAGAGUGCUGAUAAACCGCUGGGAACUGAAAGGAUGGAAGCUGCCGUUGUUAAGAACGAGACAACAGAGCCUUGUACUGUAGCAGAAACCGCUUCAGCAGAGAUGGACAACAAUGCUGAGACCCUUUUAACCAUGAAAGAACAUCAUGACAUUGGGGCCUUGGAUGAAUUUGAACCAAGUCAGUCAGUUUCUUCCUCUCCUUCACAGAAGGAAGGCUAUCCACCAACUUCUGCAGAAACUUUAGAGAAAUCAGAAGAUGUCCAUCCUGAGGAGCCUGAAACCUCUGCCCCAGUGAUGGACAAUAAAGAUGAGGCAACUGUAAUCUCUGAAAUUCCAUCAUCCCAUGAUGCAAUGGUCACUCUUGAUGAGGUCAGUGAGGGUGAGGAAGAUUUUCUUGAUGAAACAAAUGAGGAACAGCGUUCGAAGGCUGAUGAAGUGCCUGAGACACUUGUAACGGUUGAUGAGGUUGGAGAUGAUGUAACGGGGGGUGAAGAAUACCAGUUGGGCAAAGAACUUCAAGGUCUAGUCACAUUGGAUGAGAUUGUUGAUGAAGAGGAGGAGUUUGAUUCAUUCAAUCCUGAGGUCGGCUACCCCCAAAAUUGUGUUCAAA
This 1409-nucleotide long non-coding RNA is filed under the name Sinocyclocheilus anshuiensis. Its description in RNAcentral is "lncRNA (ENSSANG00000003897.1)". Lineage: Eukaryota; Metazoa; Chordata; Actinopteri; Cypriniformes; Cyprinidae. The record is from RNAcentral.